UACGGGGGGUGCAAGCGUUGUUCGGAAUCAUUGGGCGUAAAGAGCGUGUAGGCGGCUUGAUAAGUCAGAUGUGAAAGCCCUGGGCUUAACCCAGGAAGUGCAUUUGAUACUGUCUUGCUUGAGUAGGGGAGAGGAAAGCGGAAUUCCUGGUGUAGAGGUGAAAUUCGUAGAUAUCAGGAGGAACACCGGUGGCGAAGGCGGCUUUCUGGCCCUAUACUGACGCUGAGACGCGAGAGCGUGGGUAG
RNAcentral lists this ribosomal RNA (245 nucleotides) under uncultured bacterium. RNAcentral describes it as "partial 16S ribosomal RNA". It matches the Rfam family "Bacterial small subunit ribosomal RNA", at positions 524 to 768 of the family's 1533-position model. The record is from RNAcentral.